This 70-nucleotide transfer RNA is filed under the name Kouleothrix aurantiaca. It matches the Rfam family "tRNA". From Rfam's summary of the family: Transfer RNA (tRNA) molecules are approximately 80 nucleotides in length. Their secondary structure includes four short double-helical elements and three loops (D, anti-codon, and T loops). Lineage: Bacteria; Bacillati; Chloroflexota; Chloroflexia; Chloroflexales; Roseiflexaceae. The record is from Rfam by way of RNAcentral.
GGUCGCAUCGUCCAACAGGAGGACGCCCGCCCUGCAAGCGGGAGAUCCGGGUGCGAAUCCCGGUCGAUCC